ACGUCAUCGAAACAAACGCUCACUGCGCAUGCGCAUGAACUAUAAAAGCGCGGGUUCGCACGUUCUUUCUUCCCAGUUCCGUCUUUCUUGAGAAGGGUGAGUAAUAUUCACUUUGUGAUUUCGUUUUUUUUUUUUUUUAAAUAGUUUUUUAUCUACUGGAGAAGUUUUUAAAAUCACGUUCUGUAGGUGUUUUACCAAACUACCCACAGUGCUAAAGUUGUACAAAUUAAAACUAAGGAUUUUGGUGUAGUUCCGCGCUGAGCACGUGGCUCAUUUUCGAUGCACCCGGGAAGGUUCUAGACAAUGAAAACUUGACUGUAUGUGGGCUGUUGGACCAUGGAGUUUUCCUAUAGUGCUUACUCAGCUUUUGAUCAUACUGGAGCCAAAUGGAUAACCUUAAAUUCAUCAGACUUUGUUUCAGAAGUCUUUAACACUCUAAAACGGGAAGAAUUCUGUAAUUCAAGAGGACCACACAGUGACCCUUGAUGAAUGGCCACACGUGAAGGAGUUUGAGCGAUCUGUGCUCCUGAAGGCCCUUCAGUGCCAAACCCACGUGGAGCAGUGGAUGAAGUACACAAUGGGUUUUCUCCAAGCAGUCUAGCGUUUACCAGCCAUAGGGGAGGAAAUGCCUUUUGAGAGCAUUAAAGUUGCUUUUAUUUUGACCUACUAGUGUUCCAACCUGCUAUUUUUGAAGAAGCAUUCAAGUUUGUUAAAUUGUAACUUCUCAGAAUGCAGUCACUAAUUAUUGCUUGUAACUUGUUUGUUCGAUGCAAGUGUAAAUAGUCUGGCAGAUACCUUUUACAUGUUCAAUAAAACUAAGCCAUGAACCGAACUUCGCGUUUAUGAAAAUUGUUUUCUGCAUUUCUCAACGGUGACCUUAUAGAGGUCAAAUGUAUAAUGCAAAUCAAGCUGGCUUUUCAGUGGAGUGAAAUUUGUCUAGAGGACAUUCGAACUGAAAUCAAUUCAAAUUGAGCAAUUUUGCUCAAAUUGAGCAACAACAAAAAAAAAAGUUAUUAAAUCAUAUGGUUUAAUAAAAC
This 1037-nucleotide long non-coding RNA is filed under the name Sinocyclocheilus anshuiensis. Its description in RNAcentral is "lncRNA (ENSSANG00000000055.1)". The record is from RNAcentral. Lineage: Eukaryota; Metazoa; Chordata; Actinopteri; Cypriniformes; Cyprinidae.